AUCGGGUUCGAGCCUAUCCAUCCCUUCCGGGCAUGUGUCCGGGCGAUGGGCUCCGCCCGCCGGACGCCUGCCAGCGCCCCCCAUUGCAGCGGGCGUCCGGUCGCCGCCUCCCGCUUUGCCCCCUAGUCUUGCGGGAGGCGGCCCCCCA
This 148-nucleotide small RNA is filed under the name Caulobacter vibrioides NA1000. RNAcentral describes it as "small non-coding RNA". The record is from RNAcentral. Lineage: Bacteria; Pseudomonadati; Pseudomonadota; Alphaproteobacteria; Caulobacterales; Caulobacteraceae.